RNAcentral lists this non-coding RNA (26 nucleotides) under Cricetulus griseus (Chinese hamster). Lineage: Eukaryota; Metazoa; Chordata; Mammalia; Rodentia; Cricetidae. The record is from RNAcentral.
CAGGAAGAGAGGACCCAUAAGGCUGG